AGAGUUGAUUAUGGCUCAGGAUGAACGCUAGCUACAGGCUUAACACAUGCAAGUCGAGGGCAGCGAGAAGAAGCUUGCUUCUUGUCGGCGACCGGCGCACGGGUGAGUAACGCGUAUCCAACCUUCCCUAUAGUAGAGAAUAGCCCGGCGAAAGUCGGGAUUUAAAUGCUCUAUGUUGUAUUUUUGCGGACAUCUAACGAAUACCAAAGGUUUUACCGCUAUAGGAUGGGGAUGCGUCUGAUUAGGUUGUUGGCGGGGUAACGGCCCACCAAGCCGUCGAUCAGUAGGGGUUCUGAGAGGAAGGUCCCCCACAUUGGAACUGAGACACGGUCCAAACUCCUACGGGAGGCAGCAGUGAGGAAUAUUGGUCAAUGGACGGAAGUCUGAACCAGCCAAGUUAAGCGUGCAGGAUGACGGCCCUAUGGGUUGUAAACUGCUUUUAUACAGGGAUAAAGUCGGGGACGUGUUCCCGUUUGUAGGUACUGUAUGAAUAAGGACCGGCUAAUUCCGUGCCAGCCGCAGC
Molecule: ribosomal RNA, 523 nt
Filed under: uncultured bacterium
Lineage: Bacteria
Description: bacterial SSU rRNA
Rfam family: Bacterial small subunit ribosomal RNA
Source: RNAcentral